RNAcentral lists this transfer RNA (82 nucleotides) under Ixodes scapularis (black-legged tick). It matches the Rfam family "tRNA". From Rfam's summary of the family: Transfer RNA (tRNA) molecules are approximately 80 nucleotides in length. Their secondary structure includes four short double-helical elements and three loops (D, anti-codon, and T loops). The record is from Rfam by way of RNAcentral. Lineage: Eukaryota; Metazoa; Arthropoda; Arachnida; Ixodida; Ixodidae.
GCAGUCGUGGCCGAGUGGUUAAGGCGACGGACUAGAAAUCCAUUGGGGUCUCCCCGCGCAAAUUGGAAUCCUGUCAACUGCG